This is a long non-coding RNA of Manacus vitellinus (golden-collared manakin), 325 nucleotides long. RefSeq lists it as uncharacterized. The record is from RefSeq and is a predicted model, not a curated record. The transcript is spliced from 3 exons. Lineage: Eukaryota; Metazoa; Chordata; Aves; Passeriformes; Pipridae.
ACAGCCACCCCACAUAACGCUGGCAGACAAAACAAGACAGGAUAGGACAAAGGGGUGCUGCAAGGAGCCUCUGUACAACCACUUCAUGCUUUUCUGAUGCAAAAUUCAAUGGGAUGGCAGAAAAAUUGCCCAGUAUGCCCUGGCUGGCCUGGGUUGGGCGGGGAGGGGAGGAGGAGGAGGAGAAAGGCCGAGGGGCUGCCCAAGCACAACAGCCUGAAGAAGUGGAAACAGUCCAGCCACUGCAGACAGAUCCACUUGGGGAACUGCCAGAGGAGGAGCACACCCAUGGACUCUUCUACAGAUGCACACAGAUGUUUUCAGACUU